CAGGUGGCGGGCUUAAUACAGUCAAGCUGAGCGCGAGAGUAGGAGCUUGCUCUAUGACGAGCGGGGAGCAGGGGGAAACACGUGGAACCUCCCUUGAGAUUGGGAAACUCCGGAAACGGUGCUAUCCGGAUCGACUUUUCACAUAGUGGAAUUGUUAAAGGCGGAUUAUCUGCCGCUAUGGAUGGGCCUGCGGUGCAUUAGCUAGUUGGUGAGGUAGUGGCUCACCAAGGCGACGAUGCAUAGCCGACCUGAGAGGGUGAUCGGCCACACUGGGACUGAGACACGGCCCAGACUCCUACGGGAGGCAGCAGUAGGGAAUCUUCCGCAAUGGACGCAAGUCUGACGGAGCAACGCCGCGUGAGUGAUGAAGGGUUUCGGCUCGUAAAACUCUGUUGUUAAGGAAGAACACUUGAGGUAGUAACUGGCCUUGAGAUGACGGUACUUAACCAGAAAGCCACGGCUAACUACGUGCCAGCAGCCGCGGUAAUACGUAGGUGGCAAGCGUUAUCCGGAAUUAUUGGGCGUAAAGCGCGCGUAGGCGGUAAAAUAAGUCUGAUGUGAAAGCCCCCGGCUCAACCGGGGAGGGUCAUUGGAAACUGUUUUACUUGAGUACAGAAGAGGAGAGUGGAAUUCCAUGUGUAGCGGUGAAAUGCGCAGAGAUAUGGAGGAACACCAGUGGCGAAGGCGGCUCUCUGGUCUGUAACUGACGCUGAGGUGCGAAAGCGUGGGGAUCAAACAGGAUUAGAUACCCUGGUAGUCCACGCCCGUUAACGAUGAGUGCUAAGUGUUGGGGGGGGUUUCCGCCCCCUCAGGUGCUGCCAGCCUUAACCGCCAAUUAAAGGCAAC
RNAcentral lists this ribosomal RNA (846 nucleotides) under Jeotgalicoccus sp. RNAcentral describes it as "bacterial SSU rRNA". It matches the Rfam family "Bacterial small subunit ribosomal RNA", at positions 36 to 892 of the family's 1533-position model. The record is from RNAcentral. Lineage: Bacteria; Bacillati; Bacillota; Bacilli; Caryophanales; Staphylococcaceae.